Molecule: transfer RNA, 72 nt
Filed under: Abditibacterium sp.
Lineage: Bacteria; Pseudomonadati; Abditibacteriota; Abditibacteriia; Abditibacteriales; Abditibacteriaceae
Also listed under: 2 other names
Description: tRNA-Thr
Rfam family: tRNA
About the family: Transfer RNA (tRNA) molecules are approximately 80 nucleotides in length. Their secondary structure includes four short double-helical elements and three loops (D, anti-codon, and T loops).
Source: RNAcentral
GCCGGUGUAGCUCAAUGGUAGAGCAGCUGUUUUGUAAACAGCAGGUUGCGAGUUCGAUUCCUGCCACCGGCU